Long non-coding RNA from Balaenoptera acutorostrata (minke whale), 2390 nucleotides. RefSeq lists it as uncharacterized. The record is from RefSeq and is a predicted model, not a curated record. The transcript has 6 exons. Lineage: Eukaryota; Metazoa; Chordata; Mammalia; Artiodactyla; Balaenopteridae.
UGAGACGUGCCGUGCGUUCUCCCGGGGAAGUUGUCCCCGGAUCACGGGAGCCUGGCAGUGGUGGGCUGCACAGGCUCCCGGGAGGGGAGGUGUGGAGAGUGACCUGUGCUCGCACACAGGCUUCCUGGUGGUGGCAGCAGCAGCCCUAGCAUCUCCUGCCCGUCUCUGGGGUCCGAGCUGAUAGCCGCGGCUCGCGCCCGCCUUUGGGGUCUGCGCUGAUAACCGUGGCUCGCGCCAGUCUCUGGAGCUCAUUUAGGCGGCGCUCUGAAUCCCCUCUCCUUGCGCGCCGCGAAACAAAGAGGCAAGAAAAAGUCUCUUGCCUCUUUGGCAGCUGUAGACUUUUUCCCGGACUCCCUCCCGGCUAGCACCGAAGCCGGAGCCUCAGCUCCCAGCCCCGCCCGCCCCAGCGGCUGAGCAGACAAGCCUCUCGCGCUGGCUGAAGUGCAACUACGUACAAACUUCCAUCACCUUUAUGGUGAAACUGCUUCUGGGCUGAAUGUGAGUUCCCAGCACAAUGAGACUUGAGCUGAUUAACUCCUUAAGCAGAAAAACGGUCAUAAGACGUGGUACAGAAAGAGUUCUGCCUAAGUUACUUUGGUAACUAAAGAAUACCAGAAAUCUCACAGACUCAGUACCAAGGCUGAAGAAGCAAGUUUGAAAAUGGACCAAAAGCAAUGGAAGCCAAGUAACUGAAACUUCAGUUGAAAUCAUGCCAUCUGAUGAAUCUGGUGAAAAUGCCACUUCCUCUACCACUGGACAAGCUAACCUAACCAUGGAAACCAUCUGGUUCUAAUGGUAUCACCUGCCUGGUUUAUCCCAGAUAAGAUUCAGGAUUUCCAGCUAUCAAGUGUAGACCCUCUACCCCCACCUUCCUCUCAGAUGAGAACCUGAAGGCCGGUACCAGUCUCGACACGACUGGUCCCUCAGACUCAGCCAACAAUCCUUUCCUCUUUCAUGCUUCCAGUACUCACUCUACUCCUUGGAGCUUAUGGAAGAUAUGGCAGUGCUCACCAAAGAUUCCUCCACUAUCCUACAUUCCCAGGCCUUGUGGCUGGGUAGGGUCAUGUGACUAGUUCUGAUCACUGGCUCAGGGGAGGUGAUGACAUGUGUUACUUCCAGUUCAGAGCACUGAACUGAUGGUACAUGACUCCUACAUUCCCAUUCCUCCACUGUGGAUGCCAGCUACAUUCCAGAUGGUACAAUCUCCACCAGCCUGGGCUCCUAAGUGACUACAUAGAGCAGAGCCCCCAACAAACUUACAACGGGCAUGCAGCCUAAGUGAGAAAAAAAUGUUUAUGUUUUAGAUGAGUGGCAUAUUGAGAUUUAUUUGUUAUUCCAGCAUAAUCUAACCUAUUGUAAUUAAUUCAGGGCUCUUCAUUUGAAAUGUGAGAAACUAUUAUCCAAGAUAUCCUCUUCUUAACUAAGCUCCCAAAAGCAGAUACAGAGGCUAUUUUCAUUUUAGGGAAUAUAAUACUAAUCAUUAUAUAAGUAAUAAUUAAAUAUUGGUUAAGUUGAACUGCAGAGAUAGAAAAGCAUUGGAUGAAUAUAGGAAAUCUAAAAUAAUAGAUAUAAUUUGUGAGAAGAGGAAUAGAUGUUUCUCUCUGGGGUUCAAUGAAGAGAACCACAAAAAAGGGAGGGAAGUUGGAAGAAGCAGGGAAGUGCUGGAGGAGAUAACUGAACUAAGACCAGAUUAUGAUUAGCCUUGAGUGUCAGAGUAAAGAGUUAGCCUUGGUAAUGGAAAUACAUGCAUGAAUUAUGAGGCCAUUUGACAUUAAGCAACAGAAGACUGAGGCUACAAUGGAUUAAAGAAAUAGGAAUGUAUUAUUUUUCUUAUGAUAAGAAUUCUUCAAGCAGUUAGUUCAUGUCUUGUGCAGUUAGUUCAUGUCUAGCUUCUCAAAGAUAUCAGUAAGGACCCAAGCUCCUUUUGUUUUUCUGUUCUGUCAUCCUGACCAUGUAUCUUUUGUCCUCAUGCUCUCAAGAUAGCUGCUACUCUCCAGACAGGCAAUCCUCAAGCCAGCCUGAGGCUUUAUUGUUUUUGUUUUAUAAAUCAAUAUUCACUUGUAUUUACCUAAAUAUUUAUAUUUUCUGUUGCUCUUCAUUAUUUCCUGCAUUUCUGUGGAUUCAUCAGCUUACAGCCAUCCUGAAUGAAAGAUUCCUUUUAGUAUUUCUUUUAGUAUAGGUCUCUUUACAAUGAUUUCUCUCAAUUUUGGUCUGUCUAAAGAUUUCAACUAAAUUUUUAAAGGCUAUUUUUUUUCUGGGUAGAAAAUUCUUAGUUGCCAUAAUUUUCCUUUAGUACUUUAAAUAUUUAAUUCCAUUUUCUUUUGGCUUCCACAGUUUCUGCUGAAAAAUCAACUAUCAAUCUUAUUUUUGUUUCAUCAAAGUGUUUUUUU